ACCGAAGCGUUAAAAUAAAAUGGCGUCUGAACGGGUUUUGGAAUCUCUAUCGAAUCGUUUACUAGAUUUAGACAGAAUCAUUUAAAAUAAUGGAGAGAAUUUAGCAGAAUCUGAUACAUAUGAAUUUGUCAAUGCGCAAAAAACCCCAACCGAAAACACAAAGAGAAAAACAAUAUCGGACAUUAACAGGUUUAAAAGUUGGCUCGAAAGCAUUGGAGAUGGUCGAGCAAUUAUAAAUAUUCUUGCACAAGAGAUGAAUAUGCUGCUCGCAAGCUUCUUUAUGAAUCUAAAGAAAUUUAACGGAGAGAAUUACGAACCAGAUACCAUGAAAUCCAUUUUUUGCAGCAUCAAAAGGUUUUUGAAGGACAGGGAUUACGGGACCAACCUGAUGACUAGUGAAAUAUUUCACCACGCCCGAGAAAUGCUAGCAACAAAACAAAAGAUUGCAAAAUCACACGGCUAGGGAAAUAAGAAAAAUAGAUCAGAUCCGUUCACAGAAGACGAAAUUUAAAUUCUGAGGAAAAAGGACUUCUUGGCACAGUUAAGUUAUUAAAACAUUGCUUUGUUAAAAGUCUAACUUUAUCUCAUAUCAUUAUAUCAAAAUAUAAACUUACGUGGUGGUCAUCAAAUUAUAAAUCGAUAUCGUUUUGAGCAGAUAAUUCACACUCGACAUGAUUGUGUUUACAUCGAUAUUCUAUUGCAUGUAUAAUAUUACGACUACACAGUAAAUGAAACGUCUUAACGAUGACGUAUUGACGCAAUUACUCCAGGGCCGUCAAUCAAUAAAUUAUGUACAGUGCCUUUGGAUCUAUGUAAUAUAAGAUUGUGGCAUGGGAAUUAAAGAUCGAGACAUAUAUUUUUUGUUACAAAGCGAAAUUAUAGUCCUAUACUCUUUUGUUACAAAACGAAAUUUUAACCCUAUAUUCUUUUGUUACAAAGCGAAGUGUUGCGGUUACUAAAUCCAUGAAUUCAAACAAAGAAACUGUGUAGAUCUCUACUUUUUGGAUUUCUUAAUUUAUUUUCAGAAUCGCCGGAGUCACUUAUAAACACUGUUUGGAUGAACAACAUGUUGCACUUGGGCCUACGGGGUCGACAAGAACAUGUCACAAUGUUGUGGGGAGACGUUGAACUCCUUUAGACAUCACAAGGAAGGGAAUAUCUGGCGCUCACGGAAAGAUUAACUAAGAGUAAGACUAGGAAUGGAAUCUCGGCGGAUCCAAGAGCGUUCACACCUAAGAUGUUUUCGCAGCCAGGUGACAUGGACUGUCCUAUCGAAGUGUACAAGAUAUACGCUGACAAACGCCCAGAGAAAAUGAGAAAACCCGAGGCUCCAUUCUACGUCGCUGUUAACCCUAAUUGGAAACCGGAUGCUAAUGUGAACUGGUACAUGAAUGCAAAAAUUUGGUGUGAAUAAUUGUUUAUGUUAUAUUCCAGUUUAAAUACAAUGUCCAAUGAUCUUUGUUUGUAUUAAUCGAAUAAAUGAAGUCGGACAUA
Dreissena polymorpha is the source of this 1494-nucleotide long non-coding RNA. RefSeq lists it as uncharacterized. Lineage: Eukaryota; Metazoa; Mollusca; Bivalvia; Myida; Dreissenidae. The transcript has 2 exons. The record is from RefSeq and is a predicted model, not a curated record.